RNAcentral lists this ribosomal RNA (501 nucleotides) under uncultured bacterium. RNAcentral's name for it is "partial 16S ribosomal RNA". It matches the Rfam family "Bacterial small subunit ribosomal RNA", at positions 30 to 523 of the family's 1533-position model. The record is from RNAcentral.
AUUGAACGCUGGCGGCAGGCUUAACACAUGCAAGUCGAGCGGAGAGAGGUAGCUUGCUACUGAUCUUAGCGGCGGACGGGUGAGUAAUGCUUAGGAAUCUGCCUAUUAGUGGGGGACAACAUUUCGAAAGGAAUGCUAAUACCGCAUACGUCCUACGGGAGAAAGCAGGGGAUCUUCGGACCUUGCGCUACUAGAUGAGCCUAAGUCGGAUUAGCUAGUUGGUGGGGUAAAGGCCUACCAAGGCGACGAUCUGUAGCGGGUCUGAGAGGAGGAUCCGCCACACUGGGACUGAGACACGGCCCAGACUCCUACGGGAGGCAGCAGUGGGGAAUAUUGGACAAUGGGGGGAACCCUGAUCCAGCCAUGCCGCGUGUGUGAAGAAGGCCUUAUGGUUGUAAAGCACUUUAAGCGAGGAGGAGGCUACUCUAGUUAAUACCUAGGGAUAGUGGACGUUACUCGCAGAAUAAGCACCGGCUAACUCCGUGCCAGCCGCCGCAGUAA